This 257-nucleotide ribosomal RNA is filed under the name uncultured bacterium. Its description in RNAcentral is "partial 16S ribosomal RNA". It matches the Rfam family "Bacterial small subunit ribosomal RNA", at positions 524 to 776 of the family's 1533-position model. The record is from RNAcentral.
UACGUAGGGUGCAAGCGUUGUCCGGAAUCAUUGGGCGUAAAGAGCGUGUAGGCGGCCGGUAAGUCCGCUGUGAAGUCGGGGCUCAACCCUCGAAAUGGCCGGUGGAUACUGUCGGGCUAGGAGUGGCGGAAGAGGCGAGUGGAAGUUCCGUGGUGUAAGCGGUGAAAUGACGCAGAUAUCAGGAGGAACACCGAUUGCGAAGGCAGCUCGCUGGGACGUAACUGACGCUGAGACGCGAAGCGUGGGGAGCGAACAGG